This 237-nucleotide long non-coding RNA is filed under the name Trifolium pratense (red clover). RNAcentral describes it as "long non-coding RNA (TPRA_LNC008904)". Lineage: Eukaryota; Viridiplantae; Streptophyta; Magnoliopsida; Fabales; Fabaceae. The record is from RNAcentral.
UUUGAGAAGUCAUUUGCUUCAAUAUUAAGGUUCUCUUCUAUAGUCCUUCGGGAACUAUAUCACAUCAUAAACAAAAACUAAGAUCAAUAUUUGAGCAAUCCUUCGAGGAUGCUUUAAUGUUGAAUUCUUCUUGAAUUCAUCAAGAUUAAAUAUUAUUAACAUAUGAAAAUAUAAAUAAAAUAAAGAACUGUGAUAAAGAAUACGAGCAUGAAAUAGAGUAUAAAAAUAAUAAUAAGG